Molecule: long non-coding RNA, 1384 nt
Filed under: Capra hircus (goat)
Lineage: Eukaryota; Metazoa; Chordata; Mammalia; Artiodactyla; Bovidae
Description: lncRNA (ENSCHIG00010015790.1)
Source: RNAcentral
AUUACCGGAUAUAGUUCCCCUGUACUAUAUGCUAGGACCUUAUUGUUUAGCUACUCUGCAUGUAACAGUGUAUAUCUGUUAAUCCCAAACUGCUAAUUCAUCCUUCCUUCACCCCCUUUCCCAUUUGGUAACCAUAUAUUUGUCCUCUAUGUCUGUGAAUCUCUUUCUGUUUGUGAAUAAGUUCAUUUGUGUAUUUUAUCUUUGAAAGUAUCUAUUUGGCUGCACUGGAUCAGGUUCUUUAGUUGCAGUUUGUGAACCCUUCGUUGGGGCAUGUGGGAUCGAAUUCCCUGGCCAGAGACUGAACCUGGACCCCCAGCCGUGGGAGCCCAGAGCCUUGCCACUGGACCACCAGGGAAGCCCCUACGUGUGUCAUAGCUUAGACUCCGCAUAUAGGUGGUAUCAGAGCAACCGAAUGAGGUUUUACAGGUGAGGACACUGAGCUAUAAAAGGUGAAGUCAUUUGCCUAAGGUCNNNNNNNGGAGGAAGGCAGGGUUAGGGUUCAAACGUUCUCAGGUGCACCCCCAUUCUCCCUUCCCAAACCUCCUGAGAUGGGAAAAUUCGACUGGUGUUGAAAAGAACCCACUUCAGGCUAGAACAUGUUUCUGGCACUUUUAUCGUUCCCUCUCUACUGAAGACUUUUAUCUGUCUGUCUAGGAACGUGGGUCACAGUCAUGACCGCCACCCACUUCCCAGAUCUCUGUGAACCUGCUGGGCCAUGCAGCCCAUUUCACAGUUUUUACAGCAAAAAACCAAGGCAGAAACAAUGUCUCUCACCCUUUUGAUGAAAAACUGGAUUUCUAAGAAGACAAAUAACUCAGUGAGGGUUGCGUAACUAGAGAGAGCUGGCCCCAAACUCUGGGUCCUACAUGUUCUCUCCUGCCACUACGCAGCAACCGCUGAGGGGGUCGACCAGAUGACCUGACAGCCUUUCGUGAUACAGAUGCAGCAAUUCUGAUUGCCCUGUGGUAUGCCGCUUUCUUCUUAUUGAUCUCUAAAAAUGUAUAGAUUAUACUUCAGUCCCUGGGUCGGAAAGAUCCCCUGGACAAGGAAAUGGCUACCCACUCCAGUAUUCUUGUCUGGAAAAUUCCAUAGACAGGAGCCUGGUGGGCUAUAGUCAAUGGGGUUGCAAAGAGUUGGACAUGACUGAGCAAUUAACACACGCACACGUGCUGACUAAAGGUGGGGUUCAUGUUUCAAAUUAAGGGGAAGGCAGAACUGACCUUUCUGACUUAUAAUCUUGCCUGGCCUGUGAAAUAAAUCCAUCCCCUGAUUAAGUCUGACAGCACUGUGUGUGGUGGCUAUAACUGCAGCUUUUCUUGUUUCUCUGCCUCGCUCUAGAGACUCAAGUCCAGAAUUACGAUCUAUAUUAUGCUUUACACCAGUG